Cephus cinctus (wheat stem sawfly) is the source of this 2215-nucleotide long non-coding RNA. RefSeq lists it as uncharacterized. The transcript has 4 exons. Lineage: Eukaryota; Metazoa; Arthropoda; Insecta; Hymenoptera; Cephidae. The record is from RefSeq and is a predicted model, not a curated record.
AUCGCUGGCAAUGCUCUGAUUGGUCCUGCAUAUCCCCACUACGGUAACUCGCGACGUCGCGGGCGACCGUGUCGUCAGUGCCGCCAACAUUACCAAUAACUACCUAGAUUGGAUUGCUGUUGCCAUCUCCAAAAAAUCUUCAAAAAAUUCAUGGCCUGCCGUAAUUUUGUCCUUUUCGCACAUAAGACACAAUGAUUUGGCAGAGAAUAUAUUUGUAGUUUAAUAUCUCCGUAGAAAAUUCUUUCUUUUUUUUGUUUUUGUUUUGUAUUAUCGUACUGGGAUUACGCAGAGUUACUAUUGAUUCGAAGUUUCCCAACUAAAUUAUUCCACUUGAUGUGAUGAUGCAAACCGAUCUGAUAAUAAAAUUCAAUAAUUUUUAUUGGAUUUGACAAUUUUACGUCAAAACAAUUGCAUUUUAAGAUUCCCAUGUGAAUAUAAUAGCGUCUAAUGUAUCUGUGUUAUGAGAUAGAAACUUCAAAUUUUCUAGUAUAACCAUUAGCGCAUUUUGGAAACUCUUAUGUCCGUUUUGUUCAGUGAAAGGCCAUCGCUAAGCGGAUAAUCCUAGAUUCGUUAUUUUAUUCACUACUCGAGGAUACAGAUAAGAAUUGAUAUUCUACACGGCAGGGAUAAAGUCUAGGGACAUUAGUUCUGUUGGUCAUGCAAGCUGCAUUGCCGUAGGCCGAAAUCGACGCCUACGAAAAGUUAGCUGACACGAAUACUAAACUGGCCAGUAUACUAUGUGUAUAUCUAUAUAUGUGUAUAUAUAUGUAUAUAAACGGUCAUAUAGUGUACAGAUCUUUUACCACGUAAAAAUAAUAUGACGAGGAUACGAGUCAUGCUUAAAAACAAACACGAAGAAUACCUACACGUUCAUUCAAUUAUAGAUGCCGAUCACUGCGAAUGUCGGGCCCACAGCUAGAGGGCCCUGAAUAAAAAUGACGUUGACGUUUCAUUCGCUAAAAUGGUACACGUCGCCGAAAAGUCAUUCCCCCACGCAAAACGCCUCCGUUGAACUUGAUCCAAUCUCGGCAGCCAUGUACUUGAAUUGCCAAUGGUCAACGUCAAAUCAAUCCGGAAAGGUGAGCCACUGUUGCAGGAUAGAAUUGCAAGGAUGCGGCCUCAAAUGGUAUCUGGUGCGAAGUCAUUGGUUGAAUGACCCCGAAAACUCAUAACUGGAAUCAUUAAAAACUCCAUUUGCACAUUCAUAAGUUAUUAAAUGAAAUUAAAGAUGUGAUAACAACUCCUGGAUGGACAACAGAACGGAAACGACGAUUCUACCUCCGUGACUAGACAAUCAAUGUCGAGACGUGCUUGUACAAUAGACUUGAAAUAUUGGAAUUAUUCAAGCUCAUGGAUAUACAGUCUAAUACUUAAAAAAUAUUUACAACCAGCAUAAGCACAGAGGAAUCUAUAUGUACAGCUUUACAUACAAAAUAUAUACAAGCACUUUCUGUAUGAAUUUAGCCAAUUCUAACAUCCGAGGAAAGAAUAUAUCAUAUCCAAUGGAGUCCAUUCGUUCCUACAAUUUCCCAGGAAUAAUACAAACAUAUAAUGAAAGUCUACACUUUGUUACAGUCCAGGAACAAUCUUACACGCUUUCCAUGUGCUCCUUUUGAUAGACUUCAGAGAGAAGCAUAAACAUACUAUAUGUAGUAUCAUAUCCAUGAAUCAAUUAAUAAACGAAGAAGGAUUAUUUUCACCAUAGUGAAAACGUCGCUCUUAUAAAAGACUCAAUAUCUGUUUCCUCUUCGUGACAAUGUCAUAGUUCAUUCGCGUAUCUAAAUCAAGAUUCAAGUCUUUGUAGGCUCAUACGAUACGUAUAUAGAUACGUGUAGUGUUUUAUAAUGUUGCCUCCUUAUACUCAGUGCAAGAAUGGCGAUUAUGGGAGAGAGAAAAAGAUAUAGUAUGCAUGCGGUAAUGUAUUACGUAUUGCAGUACGCCAGUCUUCUCGUCGUUACCAUGUAUGGAUCAGAGUCUCUCGGUAAAAAUGAUUCGCGGUGGUUCUCUGAGACUUGUAUACACGUAUGUUACUACAUAUGUAUACUCCUGUGUACAUAGUUACGGUAAAAGGCGUACUGGUAACUGGAAGAUCAUCGGCAACGCAUUCUUGGACUUGGAAGAACGUGCUAAAUACAAGUCUUGAUGUCACACUUUGAUUAAACGCCAAACAAGUAUUUUAUAAUAUAUAAAUAUAAAAUUCUUUAAUUAUACGACU